CAAGUCGAGGGGUAGAAGGAGCUUGCUCCUUUGAGACCGGCGCACGGGUGCGUAACGCGUAUGCAAUCUACCUUUUACAGGGGGAUAGCCCAGAGAAAUUUGGAUUAAUACCUCAUAGUAUAUUGAAAUGGCAUCAUUUUAAUAUUAAAGUUCCAACGGUAAAAGAUGAGCAUGCGUCCCAUUAGUUAGUUGGUAAGGUAACGGCUUACCAAGACAAUGAUGGGUAGGGGUCCUGAGAGGGAGAUCCCCCACACUGGUACUGAGACACGGACCAGACUCCUACGGGAGGCAGCAGUGAGGAAUAUUGGGCAAUGGAGGCAACUCUGACCCAGCCAUGCCGCGUGCAGGAAGACGGUCCUAUGGAUUGUAAACUGCUUUUAUACGGGAAGAAACACCCCCUCGUGAGGGGGCUUGACGGUACCGUAAGAAUAAGGAUCGGCUAACUCCGUGCCAGCAGCCGCGGUAAUACGGAGGAUCCAAGCGUUAUCCGGAAUCAUUGGGUUUAAAGGGUCCGUAGGCGGCCUUAUAAGUCAGUGGUGAAAUCUCCUAGCUCAACUAGGAAACUGCCAUUGAUACUGUAGGGCUUGAAUUAUUAGGAAGUAACUAGAAUAUGUAGUGUAGCGGUGAAAUGCUUAGAUAUUACAUGGAAUACCAAUUGCGAAGGCAGGUUACUACUAAUGGAUUGACGCUGAUGGACGAAAGCGUGGGGAGCGAACAGGAUUAGAUACCCUGGUAGUCCACGCCGUAAACGAUGGAUACUAGCUGUUGGGAGCAAUCUCAGUGGCUAAGCGAAAGUGAUAAGUAUCCCACCUGGGGAGUACGUUCGCAAGAAUGAAACUCAAAGGAAUUGACGG
Molecule: ribosomal RNA, 854 nt
Filed under: uncultured bacterium
Lineage: Bacteria
Description: bacterial SSU rRNA
Rfam family: Bacterial small subunit ribosomal RNA
Source: RNAcentral